This 50-nucleotide small nuclear RNA is filed under the name Eremothecium gossypii ATCC 10895. RNAcentral's name for it is "AgSNR3 (AGOS_AgSNR3)". Lineage: Eukaryota; Fungi; Ascomycota; Saccharomycetes; Saccharomycetales; Saccharomycetaceae. The record is from RNAcentral. RNAcentral also lists the same sequence under 1 other name.
AACUUUGUCCAAAAGUUUCCACAGCAUUAGACAGUACGCGGGGAGAGCUA